This 496-nucleotide ribosomal RNA is filed under the name uncultured bacterium. Its description in RNAcentral is "partial 16S ribosomal RNA". It matches the Rfam family "Bacterial small subunit ribosomal RNA", at positions 29 to 507 of the family's 1533-position model. The record is from RNAcentral.
AUGAACGCUGGCGGCGUGCCUAAUACAUGCAAGUCGAGCGAACGGACGAGAAGCUUGCUUCUCUGAUGUUAGCGGCGGACGGGAGAGUAACACGUGGAUAACCUACCUAUAAGACUGGGAUAACUUCGGGAAACCGGAGCUAAUACCGGAUGAUAUUUUGAACCGCAUGGUUCAAAAGUGAAAGACGGUCUUGCUGUCACUUAUAGAUGGAUCCGCGCUGCAUUAGCUAGUUGGUAAGGUAACGGCUUACCAAGGCAACGAUGCAUAGCCGACCUGAGAGGGUGAUCAGCCACACUAGAACUGAGACACGGUCCAGACUCCUACGGGAGGCAGCAGUAGGGAAUCUUCCGCAAUGGGCGAAAGCCUGACGGAGCAACGCCGCGUGAGUGAUGAAGGUCUUCGGAUCGUAAAACUCUGUUAUUAGGGAAGAACAUAUAUGUAAGUAACUGUACACAUCUUGACGGUACCUAAUCAGAGAGCCACGGCUAACUACGUG